CAACUCUCCUUGCCAAAGCGAAGACCACCACAGAGGCGGCACGGCACUCCUCCUCCUCCUCACCGAAAGACGCGUCGUCGUUUGAAAAAAGCGCGCGCAAAAACAAAACCAACGCGAAGGAAGAAACCAGGCGAAAAUACAAAACAAAAAACAAAAAAAAAGCAACGAGAAAAGUCGCGCGCGAUUCGUAAGCUGUUUACUUUGCCAUUAUAAAUCCGGCGAGCGCUUUCUUUGUGUUUGUGUUGAUUUUGUUGUUCAAACAGUGAAUAAAAAGUAGACGGCAAAGAAGACAAAUAACAGGAACAAAAACAAGCAAAACAACAAUAACAAAAAUUUGCAAAAUUUGCAAAACGGAUGUGUAAGCAUUUCCGUCGCAAGUUCUCGCUCUCGUAGGGUAUCUUUGGAGCCACAAGAAAAAUGGCCUCAGGUGCCGCCAACACAUUGCCCUCUCCGAAUCACCAAUUUCCCGAGCGAUAAGCAAAAGGCGAUUGAGGAACACAACAAGCGAUUACCAAUAAGGGAGAGUCGAUCAGCUGAUUGACAAGUAAUCCGUUUAAAAUGGCGCUGCAACUGGGUAGCGUUUGCCCAGGACCCACGACAGGAGCAUAACCAAUAUCGUCAAGAGAAGCUACAACAGAACAACAAACUGCAACAAGUACAGUCGCCGCCGAUGGUGCCAGUGAUGCUGCUGCUCCUGAUGCUGACACUUCUCACGCGGCCCCUGACGCCUUCUCGAACCAAUGCCGGCCCCGAUCCCGGUAUCGAUCGCUGGUCCGCGAUGGGCUAUCGAUAGUUCACAUUAUGUUACUCGAUAGCUAUGGGGUGCUCUCGUGCUAUAAGGCUAUUCUUCAAUUGUGUUAAUACAAAUGAAACUUUUGUUUGUUUCAGACAGGUAUGUAAUAUAUGUUUAUGAGUUUGAACUGUAAAAAUUUCACUCAUAAUUAUGUUUAAUGACUCAUUUUUAACAAGUAUAAAUUUAUGACCAAAAUGUGUCUUUGAAGAGGCGAACAAAAAAAGUGACCACUCGUGGAGCCAUAUGACGUUAUGCAUCUUGUAGAGAAUUGAAUUUUUGUUCAAAUGUAUAUCAUGGUUAUCUGCGCGUGUUUAAUUCUUAAUUCUUAGACAAAAACAUUAGGACUGCAGCAACGUAUAAAACGGUAAAAUGUGUACGGUGAGGUUUGUAGCUGUUCCGCCGAAAAUUAGGCACUGCCAGUCAAACGCUGCUGAUAAUUCUCUUUGUUAGCUGAUGGAGGGUGGCAAGCAAGAGAAGAGAAUGCACGGAGACUGCUUAGACAGGUCAACGGGAGCUGAGAGAAUGAGAGCGGGGGUUCGAAGGCGAAUUUCGAAGAAAGAGAAGGUAUUAAAUAGAGGGCAUCAGGACGCCAUUAUGUCAUUUCCCAUCGAGAUCUGCAUAGAUAGCGUAUUAUAGUGGGAAAAAAAAAAUUUGUCCAAGUUGAAAAUCUUUCUCAAGUGCCAGUGAAAUAUACGUACAUAUAAUACCCAUAUACUACUUGGAGGCCAUAUACCGCACCAUCGGACAACAGGUCAACUUUCUACGGAGCAGCCGUUCGGGUAAGCAGGGCGAGAGCUAGCAGCAGCUAGGCAAGCUACAGAAAAAUUAUACAUAUGUAUGUAUGUAGGCAUGUGCUUGGAGGAGGCUCGUCAGCCACAUCGAGCCAGCUGGAGCAGCGAAUUCGCCGGAGCUUUGGCCCUCGCUUGGGACCGAAUUGCGAUCAGCAGAAGAAGGGAGUAAAUAGUACCCGGCAGACGGCAGCCGCUUCAACGCGAACCGCGGCAUCGCUUUCGUGUGGGACGGGGAGAAGGAGACGUGGUUACAGUCUAGCAAAUGUCAAAAUUGCCUGAACAUUUUGUAGGGCUGUGGUCAUCUCACAUACCUUCCGGAUUUUUUCUUUCUUAAGCCAGUUUCGUUCUAUCUCCCGUUUUAUUCACCUAUUCUUUCUAUCUCUAUAUCUCUCUGCUUCUCUCUGCCUUCGCUGCUGAGGCCGAGCCCUCAGGCACCGGUAAUCCGAAAGUACCGGUGAUCAGAAGAGAGAAGAGCAAAUCAUGCGAACUGUGUGUGUUUCUUUGUUUUUUUUGUUUGUUUUUGAUUUACAGUGACUAAAUCGGAAGCGCUUCAUCGAGGAGGUCUGUUGUAAGUAAUUUUUGUAGUAUUUAAUUUUAUUGGCGUCCACAAUUUAUGCAUUUGUUGGCCAAGGCUCAAAAGAGAGCCACCAAAGGGCAUGACAUCUCUUUCGCAUGCACACACCC
Long non-coding RNA from Drosophila obscura, 2268 nucleotides. RefSeq lists it as uncharacterized. The record is from RefSeq and is a predicted model, not a curated record. Lineage: Eukaryota; Metazoa; Arthropoda; Insecta; Diptera; Drosophilidae. The transcript is spliced from 4 exons.